CCUACAUGAAGUUGGAAUUGCUAGUAAUCGCAGAUCAGAAUGCUGCGGUGAAUACGUUCCCGGGCCUUGUACACACCGCCCGUCACACCAUGGGAGCCGGUAAUACCCGAAGUCAGUAGUCUAACCGCAAGGGGGACGCUGCCGAAGGUAGGAUUGGCGACUGGGGUGAAGUCGUAACAAGGUACC
RNAcentral lists this ribosomal RNA (186 nucleotides) under uncultured bacterium. RNAcentral describes it as "partial 16S ribosomal RNA". It matches the Rfam family "Bacterial small subunit ribosomal RNA", at positions 1315 to 1500 of the family's 1533-position model. The record is from RNAcentral.